UGCCUCAGUAACGGCGAGUGAAGCGGCAACAGCCCAGAUUUGAAAUCUGGCCCUCGGGCCCGACUUGUAAUCUGCAGAUGAGUCUUUUGGUGAAGCGCCGUCCAAGUUCCCUGGAACGGGACGCCGGAGAGGGUGAGAGCCCCGUACCGACGUGCGUCUAGCCUUUGCAAAGCUCAUUCGAAGAGUCGAGUAGUUUGGAAAUGCUGCUCUAAUUGUGGGGUAAAUCUCCCAUAAGGCUAAAUACUGGCCAGAGACCGAUAGCGCACAAGUAGCGUGAGCGAAAGAUGAAAAGAGCCUUGGACAAGGGCGUCAAAAAGCAUGUGAAAUUGUUGUGAGGGAAGCGCUCGAUGCCAGACGUGGUGGCGGUUGGUUACCCGGCGUUCUCGCCGGCGCACUCUGCCGUCUCCAGGCCAGCAUCAGUUCGGCUCGGGGCUCAAUGCCGUAAGGAAUGUGGCUCUUCGGAGUGUUAUAGCCCUGCGGCGACGCCCUGCGCCGGACUGAGGAACGCGCAUCUGCCCGGAUGCUGGCGUAAUGGCUUCUAGCGACCCGUCUUGAAACACGGACCAAGGAGUUGACCUAGUAUGCGAGUGUUUGGGUGUAAAGCCCUCACGCGCAGUGAAAGCGAAGCAGGUGGGAGCCUCGGCGCACCAUCGACCGAUCCUGAAGUUUACGGAUGGAUUUGAGUAAGAGCAUGCUGGGUCUGACCCGAAAGAAGGUGAACUAUGCAUGAAUAGGGUGAAGCCAGAGGAAACUCUGGUGGAGGCUCGCAGCGGUUCUGACGUGCAAAUCGAUCGUCAAAUUUGUGCAUGGGGGCGAAAGACCA
This 823-nucleotide ribosomal RNA is filed under the name Pleurothecium guttulatum. RNAcentral's name for it is "Pleurothecium sp. HY-2020b partial large subunit ribosomal RNA". It matches the Rfam family "Eukaryotic large subunit ribosomal RNA", at positions 76 to 933 of the family's 3401-position model. Lineage: Eukaryota; Fungi; Ascomycota; Sordariomycetes; Pleurotheciales; Pleurotheciaceae. The record is from RNAcentral.